RNAcentral lists this ribosomal RNA (433 nucleotides) under uncultured bacterium. Its description in RNAcentral is "partial 16S ribosomal RNA". It matches the Rfam family "Bacterial small subunit ribosomal RNA", at positions 29 to 507 of the family's 1533-position model. The record is from RNAcentral.
GCGAACGCUGGCGGCAGGCCUAACCCCUGCAAGUCGAACGAACCUUUCGGGGUUAGUGGCGGACGGGUGAGUAACACGUGGGAACGUGCCUUUAGGUUCGGAAUAACUCAGGGAAACUUGUGCUAAUACCGAAUGUGCCCUUCGGGGGAAAGAUUUAUCGCCUUUAGAGCGGCCCGCGUCUGAUUAGCUAGUUGGUUGAGGUAAUGGCUCACCAAGGCGACGAUCAGUAGCUGGUCUGAGAGGAUGAUCAGCCACAUUGGGACUGAGACACGGCCCAAACUCCUACGGGAGGCAGCAGUGGGGAAUCUUGCGCAAUGGGCGAAAGCCUGACGCAGCCAUGCCGCGUGAAUGAUGAAGGUCUUAGGAUUGUAAAAUUCUUUCACCGGGGACGAUAAUGACGGUACCCGGAGAAGAAGCCCCGGCUAACUUCGUG